Molecule: transfer RNA, 80 nt
Filed under: Armillaria borealis
Lineage: Eukaryota; Fungi; Basidiomycota; Agaricomycetes; Agaricales; Physalacriaceae
Also listed under: 12 other names
Description: tRNA-Ser
Source: RNAcentral
GGAAUAGUUUACAUUGGUAAGUUAAGACAAUUGCUAAUUGUUCGGGUAAGCCCUUAGGUGUUCGAAUCGCCUCUAUUCCG